GGAGUGGAUAGGACGAAAUGCUGUUGAGGGACUGACAUUGAGAAACAUUUCUGGAUGGCAUGAAGGUUGAUGUGGCUGGCCUCCAAAAUCAUCGUGCCUGAGACCACACAGAUGGGGAUGAGAUAAAACUUCUGGGCGGGGCUAGUGAGCCACCUGUGGCAGUGACAUCAGCACGGCAGAGAUCAGGGGCCCUGUGGUCUCCAUCCCCCACAUCCACCUCGUGUCCUUUUAUCUGUGAUCAUGUAUCACCUGCAGCUACACGUCCAGCUGGAGGAGACAGAUUUCAUCUGUCAUCUGUGAGUGGAUCUCAAUACCCAGAACUAAGUCUGUCCAGAAGUCCAUGUCCAGCGGCCGGCCUGCCAGAGCUAAUCUCACAGAUGAAGCGUCUCCUUUUCUGCUCAGUCAUGUACCUGUGCGGGAGGGGGAAAGAGACGAGGAGGCCUCACGAUCAAAUUAAUCUCCUAUUAGAACAUGCAUCUGGGGUUAAAGGUAUAGGUCACCCAAAAAUAAAAAUUCUGGGAUUAUUUUACUCACCCUCAAGUCAUUUUAAACCCGUAUGACUGACUUUCUUAGGCAGAGAAGACUCUCUCUUUGCAAUUGCAGUUAAUGGUUAAUCAAGUGUUCAAGAUUCCAAAGAACACAAAAGCAACAUAAAAUAUAGGUUAUUGAUAAACGUUAAAGGAGUAUUUCACCUCAAAAUGUAAAUGUACUCACCCUCGGGUCAUUCUAUAUGUAGAAGAGUUUUUUUAAUUGGAAAAGAUUUGUAGAAAUUUUGCAUUACAUCACUUGCUCACCAAUGGAUCCUCUGCAGUGAAUGGGUGCCGUCAGAAUGAAAGUCCAAAAAGCUGAUAAAAACAUCACAAUAAUCCACAACUAAGCUGUGUUCGUAAGAAUCAUUUGAACUUUAACCUGUCUAUGCUUUCUCCAGUGAAAGACUCCAUUCCCUGUUGUUCUCUCACAUCAAAAUCCAGCGAUAUAUUUGUGUUGCGCAGAGAAGAAAGACAUGGAGAAGAAACCACAACCAAACUUCAUCAGUUCUCGCAUAUAUCGCCAACAUGCCAGCUCAAGACAGCAAAACACAAACCGAAGACGAGCUUCAAAAUGGAGGGACUGAAAAGAGGAAAGGAUGAGUGCAGAGAAAACAAAGAAACGGAGGAAGAAGGGAAGAAAAAGGCAGAGAGAAGAAGGUGUGGAGCAGAAGUGUGGAAGUGUGUUGCUGGGCAAAGGGCUGGCGCUGAACGCGGGGUUGGCAGGCGGGGUGGAGAAGCGGGCACGCUCACAGACAUCUGUUGGCACGCUGCGGAUGCUGGAGGGGGCACGGUGCCAUGACCAGCGGGAACAUGGCACACUGAUAAUGCUGUAGCUAUACUCAGAUACACACUGCGUCUCUAUAGAACGCCACACACACCAGCACUAAUGAUAAAAUAAUCUCACACUAUCGACACGAGCGACGCAGGACACACAGGUUGUGGAUCAAAAUAUCGUAAUUGGCAGCUUGCAGUUUUUAGUUUGGGCAAAAUACUUUUUUAUGAGAAUCUAAGAAAAAUUAUCCUGCAGAAUAAAAAGUGAAUUUAAACUCA
Long non-coding RNA from Cyprinus carpio (common carp), 1580 nucleotides. Lineage: Eukaryota; Metazoa; Chordata; Actinopteri; Cypriniformes; Cyprinidae. The record is from Ensembl.